GAGUUUCAAGUGAUGGAUGGAUGUGGCAUAAAAACACCUACAAUAUCACAGAAACAGACUGAACAAGAGAGGAUUAGAGGCAACCAGCUGGCUGGAAUUUAAUUGGCAGAGUUCAGCCAAUAUGGAAAAAAAAAUUGGAAGGAAAACACGUUUUGUCUUUCCAGAAGAAAAUAAAGUUUAACAGCCUGCCUAUUUUUCAGUAAAAAGAAAACACACACCCUUUAAAGAAACAUUUUUAUGUGGUUAAGUGCUAAUGAGCACCAGAAGCAAUUUAUGGAGACCAGCCUAAAUAAACAUUAAGGAGUCAAGGCCACAAACUGACAGCAAGGAAAAUCAAUGGCUCCAGAAACCAGCUAGUAGGAUCAAUAAAAGAGAUUAGGC
Molecule: long non-coding RNA, 381 nt
Organism: Mauremys reevesii (Reeves's turtle)
Lineage: Eukaryota; Metazoa; Chordata; Testudines; Geoemydidae
Exons: 3
Source: RefSeq, a predicted model, not a curated record